RNAcentral lists this ribosomal RNA (880 nucleotides) under Chryseobacterium sp. ARS004-10. Its description in RNAcentral is "bacterial SSU rRNA". It matches the Rfam family "Bacterial small subunit ribosomal RNA", at positions 139 to 1019 of the family's 1533-position model. Lineage: Bacteria; Pseudomonadati; Bacteroidota; Flavobacteriia; Flavobacteriales; Weeksellaceae. The record is from RNAcentral.
GGGGAUAGCCUUUCGAAAGGAAGAUUAAUACCCCAUAAUAUAUUGAAUGGCAUCAUUUAAUAUUGAAAACUCCGGUGGAUAGAGAUGGGCACGCGCAAGAUUAGAUAGUUGGUAGGGUAACGGCCUACCAAGUCAGUGAUCUUUAGGGGGCCUGAGAGGGUGAUCCCCCACACUGGUACUGAGACACGGACCAGACUCCUACGGGAGGCAGCAGUGAGGAAUAUUGGACAAUGGGUGAGAGCCUGAUCCAGCCAUCCCGCGUGAAGGACGACGGCCCUAUGGGUUGUAAACUUCUUUUGUAUAGGGAUAAACCUACUCUCGUGAGAGUAGCUGAAGGUACUAUACGAAUAAGCACCGGCUAACUCCGUGCCAGCAGCCGCGGUAAUACGGAGGGUGCAAGCGUUAUCCGGAUUUAUUGGGUUUAAAGGGUCCGUAGGCGGAUCUGUAAGUCAGUGGUGAAAUCUCAUAGCUUAACUAUGAAACUGCCAUUGAUACUGCAGGUCUUGAGUAAAGUAGAAGUGGCUGGAAUAAGUAGUGUAGCGGUGAAAUGCAUAGAUAUUACUUAGAACACCAAUUGCGAAGGCAGGUCACUAUGUUUUAACUGACGCUGAUGGACGAAAGCNGUGGGGAGCGAACAGGAUUAGAUACCCUGGUAGUCCACGCCGUAAACGAUGCUAACUCGUUUUUGGGUUUUCGGAUUCAGAGACUAAGCGAAAGUGAUAAGUUAGCCACCUGGGGAGUACGUUCGCAAGAAUGAAACUCAAAGGAAUUGACGGGGGCCCGCACAAGCGGUGGAUUAUGUGGUUUAAUUCGAUGAUACGCGAGGAACCUUACCAAGGCUUAAAUGGGAAUUGACAGGUUUAGAAAUAGACUUUUCUUC